Molecule: long non-coding RNA, 338 nt
Organism: Bos taurus (domestic cattle)
Lineage: Eukaryota; Metazoa; Chordata; Mammalia; Artiodactyla; Bovidae
Source: Ensembl
CUCCAGGCAAGACUACUGGAGUGGGUAGCCAUCCUUUCUCCAGGGGAUCUUCCCAACCCAGGAGAUAUUCCUGACCUAGGGAUCAAACCUGGGUCUCCUGCAUUGCAGUUGGAUUUUUUACCAUCUGAGCUACCAGAAGAAAGGAGGCUAAGAGGUGAACUGUAACCACGCUGAAGGCAAGUUCAGUAGCUGCUCAGACGGAAGAAAUGCACUGCUGUGUGUCUCCUGCAGCCCUGGCUGGAACGCGUGCAGGAGGAACGACAGCGCACGCCCACGCCUGGCCGUGUUGUCAGACACAUCCCGACCUGAGUGGUCAAAUGAACGACCGAAUGACCGAC